AAUAUCUUAUAUUACCCACAUCAGGGGCUAGCGAGUGGCCAUAAUAAUUAGUGCUACAUGACAGCAAAUAGAUUAAAUAGCUAGGUGGAUUCUUACAACUAAGCAGUACCAUUAGCCUUACAAAGUCUUGGCUAAUAAACAUCGUUCAAAGCAACGAUGGCAUGCACCUGAACACAAGACUGUUCACAUAGGAGUUGGGACUUCUCCACGCAAUGCCACAAAAUCAGGAGAGUAGGUACAUAGCAACAAACUAAGUUUCGCAAAAGGUGCUGUCCCAUUAUAGGCACAUGAUGUAGCACUGAAUCUCAGUGACCAGCUGAGGGCAAUUCCGCAAAACAGGGAAUAUAAGGCAGACCAUUCAUGCCUUCAGUGCAGAUAACAUGCACUUUCUGAUUAUCCAUGUCAUACGACAAUGUCAAGUUUUUCUUGUCAGUAAGAAAAAUCAUGUUGCAAUCCGGAUGAAUUGCAAACAUCACAUAAGAAUCUCCAUCUUUACGGCAAUUCCUUCCAAACAGCUCCAAAACGUUAACAGUAUGCUUUAGGGUCCACUUUCCAGCAUCAUAAUCCUCGAGGACCCAAAUAUUGAGUUGGCAAUCACGAGAAUUAUCUAUCCACCAGGCAUACAAGCGUCCUUGUAAAAAGGCCCUUACUUCCAAAGCUGCAAGGGAGUGCGACAAGGGGACCCGCAUUCACCUUUCUUAUUCAAUAUGGUUGUGGAAGCCUUAUCCAAAAUGAUCCUGAAAGCUCAAAGAGAGAAAUUGAUAACAGGUCUGGCUCCGGACCUGAUUGAUGGGGGGUAGCUAUCCUCCAAUAUGCAGACGAUACGGUUGUGUGUUUUGAGCAUGAUAAAGAUGUUGCGGUUAAUCUGAAACUCUUACUUUAUUUGUUUGAGCUUAUGUCAGGGCUUAAGAUUAAUUUUCUGAAAAGUGAAAUUUUGUGUGUUGGAGGGGAUGAUGAGGUUCUUGCGUUUCAUUCAAAACUCUUCAAUUGUCAAAUUGGCCACUUCCCUAUGAAGUAUUUAGGGGUGCCUGUGAGCUAUUCUACCCUCCGUGCGAUUGACUGGGAUUUUUUUGAUGACAAAUUCCUCAAGUGCUGUGAAUCCUGGAUUGGUAAUGCAGCCUCCUUAGGAGGAAGAUUGACUCUUCUCAACUCGUCCCUUACGAGCAUUGUUUUCUUUUACAUGUCUAUUUUUAUGCUUUCUAAGAAGAAUAUUGAGAAGCUAGAUAAACAUAGGAAAAAGUUCUUUUGGCAAGAGACUGACGGUCGGAGAAGAUAUCACUUGGUUAGAUGGUCUAGGAUCUGCAGAUCCAAGAAUAAAGGGGGUUUGUGUUGGAAAUAUGCCCUAGAGGCAAUAAUAAAUUAGUUAUUAUUAUAUUUCCUUGUUCAUGAUAAUCGUUUAUUAUCCAUGCUAGAAUUGUAUUGAUAGGAAACUCAGAUACAUGUGUGGAUACAUAGACAACACCAUGUCCCUAGUAAGCCUCUAGUUGACUAGCUCGUUGAUCAAUAGAUGGUUACGGUUUCCUGACCAUGGACAUUGGAUGUCAUUGAUAACGGGAUCACAUCAUUAGAAGAAUGAUGUGAUGGACAAGACCCAAUCCUAAGCCUAGCACAAAGAUCGUGUAGUUCGUAUGCUAAAGCUUUUCUAAUGUCAAGUAUCAUUUCCUUAGACCAUGAGAUUGUGCAACUCCUGGAUACCAUAGGAAUACUUUGGGUGUGCCAAACGUCACAACGUAACUGGGUGGCUAUAAAGGUACACUACAGGUAUCUCCGAAGUGUCUGUUGGGUUGGCAUGAAUCGAGACUGGGAUUUGUCACUCCGUGUAAACGGAGAGGUAUCUCUGGGCCCACUCGGUAGGACAUCAUCAUAAUGUGCACAAUGUGACCAAGGAGUUGAUCACGGGAUGAUGUGUUACGGAACGAGUAAAGAGACUUGCCGGUAACGAGAUUGAAUAAGGUAUCGGGAUACCGACGAUCGAAUCUCGGGCAAGUAUCGUACCGCUAGACAAAGGGAAUUGUAUACGGGAUUGAUUAAGUCCUUGACAUCAUGGUUCAUCCAAUGAGAUCAUCGUGGAACAUGUGGGAGCCAACAUGGGUAUCCAGAUCCCGCUGUUGGUUAUUGACCGGAGAGCCAUCUUGGUCAUGUCUACAUGUCUCUCGAACCCGUAGGGUCUACACACUUAAGGUUCGAUGACGCUAGGGUUAUAAGGAAUAGAUAUACGUGGUUACCGAAUGUUGUUCGGAGUCCCGGAUGAGAACCCAGACGUCACAAGGAGUUCCGGAAUGGUCCGGAGGUAAAGAUUUAUAUAUGGGAAGUCCUGUUUUGGUCGCCGGAAAAGUUUUGGGGUUUUUCGGUAGCGUACCGGGACCACCGGGAGGGUCCCGGGGGUCCACCAAGUGGGGCCACAAGCCCCAGAGGGCUACAUGGGCCAAGUGUGGGAGGGGACCAGCCCCAUGUCACAUCCCUAGUUCUAUUAAUGCCUAGUGCUAGCAUCUGGUGUUGCAUCAUGUUUAAAUUUCAGUUAAACCUGAAAUGGGGAUUGCCUAAACCCUAGCACCAAAUGAAUUCAACUAGGUUCAAUAAAAAAAAUAUUUUCAACGAUCCCAAUUGCCCUUUAGAAAAGUUCAUGAUUUUUGUUAAAGGUGAAAACCUCUGCCAAAAGUCAUGCACAUAUUUCUAGGCCAUUCUGGAUUUUUGAACUAAAUCAUAUAGUAUUUGAAUUUGGGCAUUUAAAUACUAUAAAAUAAUUAAAAUGUUCAAAUAAUCCUAAACUGAAAUGUUCCAUGUUGGAUAUAUUCCAAACAGUGGCCAUGAGCAGUUUGGAGAUUUUUGAGUGUGCCUAAGUAUUUUUAAUAAAGCCCAGAACAAAAUAACAAAAUAGAAAAGAGAAAUAAAAUAGAAAUGGAGAGAGAGAACCUCACCUGGCCUCACUGUGCAGCCCACCUAGUCGGGCCAGCUGGCGGCCCAGCCAGCUGGCCAGCCCACCGAGGGCAGGGGCGUCUUCUUCCUCCUGCCAGAAGGCAGAGGAGAAGACAGCCACGGCGCCGCGGCGUGCCAUGCCGGCAGCUGCCUGCCUGGCUGCCCCCUCGUCGCCCUGGACUCCCUCUGCGACGCCACGCUACCCCCCUGGACCCCCUUGAUGCUCUCGCUCUCUCCCUCGCUCUCUGCUCCCUCUACCGAGCACACACGAGCGGAGCUCGUCGUCGCCGACGCAAUUUGCCGCGACCACCGCCGUCCCAACGAUGCCCCGAGCUGUUCCCGAGCUCCUCCACCUCGUCGCCAACCUCCUCACCGACUCACGCCACCAGGAGAGCCCCGAAACGACGGCCUCAACGUCAUCUCCAACCACGGCUGACCGAGAUCGCCGCCGUCAAUUCGCCGUCGCAGAAGCUUCCCCGAGCCCGCUGAGUUUCUCUCCCGACCCCUUGUGAGCUCCUGCACCUUCCCUAUGCUCGCCCCCUCUCCGUUUCUCUCCGCUAGCUCGAUUCCGCUGGAGCCGAGAGCUCAUCGCCGCCGUCCAUGGUGCCGCCGUCGUUUUAGCCACCAUAGCUCGUGCCUGAUCGCGUCAACGCGUUCGGUGCCUUCCCAGGAGCAUGCAGCUCCCACCAGCUCCUCCUCCCGAGCACCCUAACGCCGAGCCCGCACCAACCCCGAACUCCGGCCGCCGCCUUUGAGCUCGUGGCCGUCGACUCCGGCCACCCCAGGCCCGGCUACUGCCACCAGGUGACACGCUGCAACGCCAGCUACCCGUAGAGCCCAACCGCGGCUCAAACCGCAGCCUGUACACGAAACCCGAGCAACUCCGGCGAGUUGCCGCCACGGUUUUGGUCGCCGGCGACUUAACUCCGGCCGUGCCGACGUGGCACCAUCAUUAGUGGCUAAUGACGCCACUAAACUAACCCCUAGCUCACUGACGAAUGGACCCCACAGUUAAUUAACCCCGGGUUUAGUUUCCUGUUUAGAUUAGUGCUAACCCUAUGGACCCCACGUGUCAGCUUUGACGUUGGUCAAGUCAACAUUGGCCGGUCCCACUUGUCAUCCACCCAAACCAGCCUGAGACACUGACGUGUGGGUCCCAGUCAUCAGGUUUGACCUGGGCUGACGCCUUUGACCUGCUGAUGUCACGGUGACGUAAUGUUGAUGCAAUAAUUCAUUUUCUGGAAUUAGUUAAUUCUAAAUAAUUCAGAAAAUUCCAGAAAAUUGCCUAAACUUCUAAAAAUCAUAGAAAUUCAACCGUAACUCCAAAUAAAAUAAAUUAUAUAUGUAAAAUUAUCAGAAAAAUUCAAGGAAUCCAUCUGUACACUUUUCAUGCAUGUUUGAACAAUGUUUGUCCUCUGUUUUGGACAAAACAAAUACAGGGCACUUAAAUAAACAUAUAUGGAGUUGGAAUUUGAAUCUUGUAUUCAAACCAACUUCAUUUAAAUCAUAACUAGAUGCAUUAGCUCAAAUCACAGCAUAUUGCCAUGUCAUGAUCAUGCAUCAUAUUGUCGCAUAUGCAUUGAUUGUGUUCUUCUCUUUUGCCGGUGUUUGUCCCCCUUCAGUAGACGACGUUCUGACGAUGUGUUCGAUGACACUGAUGAAAAACUAUUACUAUCUUCAGAAGUGCCAGGCAAGCACAACUCGCUUGUUCAUUCUGAUACAAGCCCACUCUCUCGCUCCUGCUCUCUUUUACUGCAUUAGGACAACAACGAUCAUCUGUUACUUGUUGCGGUAGUUGAACCCCUUAUCCUCUGCAUGACCUGUCAUUGCCACAGUAAAUAGAUGAAACCCACUAGCAUGAGUAGGAGUUGUUUGAGCCCUGAUGUGCCUACUCAUUCAUGCUUGUUUGUCAUGCCUGCUACUGCUUAGAGUUGGGUCAGGUCUGAUUCAUCGGGGAUGAAUCGGAGGUGUGUAAACAUGCCCUACUGUGUGUGAGCUAAGUGUGUGAAAACGUUUUGGUAAAGGUAGCGGUGAGAGACCAUGUAGGAGUACAUGGUGGGUUGUCUCAUUGAAACCGUCCUCGGGAACUGAGUUCUGUGUCUGUGAUCCAUGAACAGCUACUACCACUCAUUGGGAUCCUUAAUUGACCCUCUCAGCUUCUUAAUCACCCUAGUACUCUGUCCAGGAGUUGCAACUAGUUUCUGGUGUUUGUAGGUUAUGUGUUGGCGGCCGUGCGUAGCGCUGACCCUAGGGGUGGGCUAUGAUGCGGUAGAUACACCAUGGCCGGGCAUGCCGGGCGCCCGUUUGGUGUCUCGGAACCCUGUACACAUCAUUCAGGGCCGUAUGUGGAAACCUCGGCCGGACUCCCUGCGGAUGGAACCUGGAUAGGCGAUAAACCUGGACUAGAGACUUGAGUGUUUAGGUAGGCCGUGGCCGACACCCUCGUUGGGCUUCCGCUUGAAGGUUGCCGAGUACAUGUCAUGUAAAUGGCGGUAAGUGGUGAGAGCGUGUGUGAAGAAGUACACCCCUGCAGGGUUAACAUCAUCUAUUCGAAUAGCCGUGUCCACGGUAAUGGACUUCUGGGUUGCCUAUAACAGUUCAUAGACAAGUGAAAAUGGAUACUCUAAAACUCGCAAGAUAAGUGUGAGUGCUAUGGAUGGCCUUCUCGUAGGGACACGGGAGCGGAUCCAUAGUGGUGUAUUGAAUGGUGAAUAUGUGGACUCGUGUGCGCCACCUCAAAAGAGUUGCUUGCAGUCGUAGUUCAGGUUAGCCACUGAGUCAAAGCUGGCUUGCUGCAGUUAAACUCCACCACCCCCCCUUUAUUGAUACUGAUGCAUAUGUAGAUAGUUCUGAUGUAAGUCUUGCUUGGUACAUUUGUACUCACGUUUGCCUAUUUUAUGUUUUGCAGAGAGACGUCAGUCUCACUAGUAGUUCCGUGUGGACUUUGACGUUAGCUUGAUACCUCAGCUACGAUCUUGUGCCCUCGGCAGGAUCUGGUAGAUAGUCAGGCUUCUCAGCCUUUUUCAUUUGUAGAUGUCUGUACUCAGACAUGUUAAGCUUCCGCUUGGGUUUUGACUUGUAUGCUCUGGAUGUUGGGCCAUGAGACCCAUGUUUGUAAUAUCUCGCUCCUCGGAGCCUGAUGAGUAAAUACUUGAGUCGUAGAGUCUUGUUGUGAUGCCAUGUUGUAUUUACACAUAUCGAGCAUAUUGUGUGUAUGAUUGAAAUGCUUGGUAUGUGUGGGAUCCGACAAUCUAGUUGUUUAUCCUUGGCAGCCUCUCUUAUGGGGAAAUGUAGUCUAGUUCUUCCAUGAGCCAUAGUAGUCCGCUACAGCCGGUUCGCCGGAGUCCUGCUAGCCCAGCACUACUGCUCAGGACACUUAACUGGCCGGCAUGUGUUUCACUUCGUUCCCGUGUCUGUCCCUUUGGGGAAAUGUCACGCGGUGACAUCCGGAGUCCUGCCUAGCCUGCUACAGCCCGGGUUACCGGAGUCCUGUUAGCCCAGUGCUACAGCCCGGAUUCACACGCUGCUGACCGACAUGCUCGAUGUGAUUCAUGUAUGUCUGUUCCCAUAGGUUGGUGCCGCUUUGGGUUCACGACUAGCCAUGUCGGCCUGGGUUCCCUGUCAUAUGGAUGCUAGCGACACUAUCAUAUACGUGAGCCAAAAGGCGCAAACGGUCCCGGCCAUGGUAAGGCGACACCCAUGGGAAUACCGUGCGUGAGGCCGUAAAGUGAUAUGAGGUGUUACCGGCUAGAUCAAUGUGACUUGGAAUCGGGGUCCUGACAGCAUUGGUAUCAGAGCCUGACUACCUGUAGGAUUACCAAGCCAAACUGGUCGAAGUCGAGUCUAGAAAUGCUUUAGUUAUGUAAGGGAAUUGAUUGUGGAAGGGAACGUAAGGUUCUUUUUACUCCUUUACCCUAUGCCCUUCUGAUCUGAGUCAACCUCUUCUUUUCUACGGGGAUUAAGAAUUAGGCCUUCUCAUCUAUCUAUCAGGAUGAUGUGCUACUAAUCCAUAGACUUAUAUAAUUGAUAGUUUCAAGCUUCAGUUCCGUUCCUACUACUUCCGUAUGUUGACAGUUGAUCUCAGAACCUUGAUAUUGUGUUGUUGAGUGGUUAUGCCACCAUUUUGCAGGAUGUCUCAAAUCAUUUUGAGCAUUUACAAUCUUUAUGCUGUCCGAGUCAUCCCAGGUUUCUAACUAGUCUGAUGCAUUUGCAAAUUCCUUCUUCCGUUACCGACGUUCCUUUGGGCCAGUUUAUCCACACUAAUCGGUGAGUUGAGGUACUCUGUUGCCUCGACAUAUAUGUUGGAGCUAUUAUUAUGACCCUAGGUGUUGUAGGGAGUCACCUAGUAAUCUAGCCAUGUUUUGUGUUCCCGGUGUGAUAAUUCUGACCACCAUUCUCGAAAGCAUCCCGUGAUGCCAUUUAGUGGUAGGUAUUCUAUUCAUGGGUUCUUGAACCCGAGAUUCCUCCUACUUAUCUCAUGUUGAUAGUGUUGCUAGUUCCUUUAGGAUAUUAGUAACCUUUGCGAUAGUCCUCGAGGUCCGUGGUAUUUCCUCCUUCCAAAUACUAUGAACCACUUAUGGCAGAAGUUUGUUGGAUCAAAAGAUCACAACCAGAGUGCUCUUGAUGAGUUCUCCAUUCUGCAUUGUGAAUCUGCCAGUCCUACCUUUCUUCAUGGGUUAUCCGGAAGAAAUAACAUGCUAAUCCAUGCAUCCAUACCUCAGAAAAAUUAUAUGUUCCUUUGAGUUGUUCCUCUUUAGUUGUAUUCUGAACCUCGUCCAUCAAUUGUUGGUCAAGAGUAGUUGUGCAUUGGUGUUAUCGAUGCCUAUUAUUCAUGUGAUCCGUCAAGCCAUUCCAUUCCGGAAUGACUAGGAGAAACAAACUCCAGUACCUCAUCCAUAUCCAGGAUUGGGUCAAAGCAGUUGUAUUCCGCGGAUCAAAGUGACAAUCCAGCUUUUGAUUCUGUUCAACCCUUAAGUAUUGCCCACUUUAUGUCAGGAAUAUCAUAGGAAUUGCACAACCUCCUAUGAACUCUUGAUACAGUGAUACUUCUCACCGUCAUUAUUCAUUCCUCGGUUCCGUGUUGUUGUAACCGGGAUGCCGACAAGUGAAUUGUGAUGUGUGAAAUCAAUACUCCAAGAAACUCGUUGCUUUGUAGUAAUGGACAAUAUUCUUAUUCCUAGCGUGUUGGUUUUUGAGCUACCAUUCUAAGAUUGACCGUGCUACCUAGUCCAUAUCUCCGGGUGCACUCAUCGACCAAUGAGUUAGGAUUGUGACAAUCCCUCGCUCCUUGAUCAUAUCGUCUUGCCCUGAAAAGCAAGAUUGUUCUCGAGCUUAAUAACAUAUCAGUGGUUCAUGAUUUUCCGAAUAUUUUCUCGGAAGUAUUACUAGGUUGUUCCCUGAUCGCUAUGUUGAGUUCGUGAUCAUGCUGGUUUUUCUCUAAACCAUCCAUUCUCCAAGAAUCUGUGUUGGAUACCCCCGAGCUAGAUGGUUAAGCUAAACAACAACUUGGAGAUUUGGAAGAUAAAAGGCUUUGCCGAAUUUGGUUCUUUCUGAAGGGAUAUCUUUGUGUUGUGGGUGUGUUGAAGAAAGAUGAUAUCUUCACCAAUUGGUCCUCGUGAUCAGUUGUUGGAUCUGUUAUCUUGUCAAAACUUUGACUUGAGUAUGGGCUAUUGUCGAGUCAAAUCAGAACCAACGAUGUUCGUAGUGUUGUCUUACUCGUGGUUGAUCCCUCGAGAAUACACCAUUACAUCUUUUGGUCUGACCAAUGCUAUCACCGUGUUCACAUGAUGGUGGAAGUCCAGUGAUAUGGAAAUUCCGAUGAGUUGUUAUUGAGCCCAUCAGCAACAUUUUGUCUCCUCCAUGAUUCGUGUUGAACAUCCAGCUAGUGUUGGAAAUUUUGUAAGCAUUAUCUUCGUGAUCCGUUCAUGAAGCCUGUGCUUGGAUGAAAGGAGUGACUUCCUUUGAUUCACGUCCAUUAGAUGUAAGUUGUCGCCGUGAAUUCAAGAAAGCUUGUUUUUGUUUCCUCUAGAAUCAUCCCAAAUCAGUCAUGCAUACGUGCGAAGUAUUCUAUGGUUUGGUAGAUUGAUUACCUCCACUCCAUAUGUAUUCCCUAGCACACCAAGCCACUAAUUGAUUUGUUCAAGGAGAAGAAGUUCCUUCCUAAGAGCAAGACUUAUGUAAGGACUUCGAUAUCCUUGAUGAUGGUUCCCCACCGAACUCGGUAGUGUUUUACUGUAAGACUACUACGUGGUCAUGCUUGUCUUGGACAACGGGUUCACAGGUUUGUAGUAGAACCAGCUCAUGUUUUGGAGCUUAUUAUCGUAGUUCAUUCCCCGAGAAUCUCGCAACGUCAUCUCAUCGAUUUGUGUUGCAAACCUUCAUUUUCCUUUCUAGACUCGAUGAGUCUGGAAUAUCCUGUCACCAACCAGAUCUGAAUCUCAGGCAGAUAUGAUGGUUGGAGCAUUUCCCAAGAACUAUAAUAUUGGUCCCUCAAUAACCGGUAAAGUGGAUGUCAUGGCCAACACAUCCAGCCGGAAGGCCUAUUAUUGUAGUAUCUCGAUUGAAGAAAGUUUGCCACCUCCCCAUGAGGAUUUCGUAGGAUUUACCUCCGUAGUUAAUCCUUACGGAUUCUUGUGCUCCCGAAGUCCGACCUUUACUUGAUGUCCUAGAUACCAAACCGUAUCAAUAAAUGGGUUAUCCUAGCACAUCAAGGAAAACAUUUGAAGCGGAGUGCUAAAUGUCUCUCGGUCGAUCAUCCAGAUUUUGUUUCCUUGGCCUCACUAAGGUGAAAUCUGAGAAAGUGUUAUCUUCCUUUGCAUCUGCAUUAUCCAUCACCAUUCAUCAUGGUGGUAUGUUGUGUUGCCAGGAUCCUUGACAUGGAUAUUGGUAAAACCUUGAUGAAUAUGGAGAUGCUCAAGUUCUUGAGAGCACGCGCAAGCACUAGGUUUUAUCGUUGGCAUUAACUGGGAUUUGCUUCAUGUUUCCUCGGUUAUGUUAUAACCUUUUCAAACAGUGGACUCACUCUAGACUGUUGAGCUCUCCCCAGUUACUAGAAUCAUUCCUAGCAUUUGCAUUUUGUUCCCAGCUUGCACCGCCAUUGUGUCAUCCUACUACGGACUACCCUUCUCAGUAAUUACUGAUCAGGAUCAACUUCAAAGUGGUCCUACCACAAGUUCCAUCCAUCUCCGAUGAUAAGCAAAAAUCAUCCAUUGUGUUGUCUUCAACAAGGUAGUCCACAUCAUCCAUCCUAGUCCAAGUAUGCCAUCUCUUCAAGCUACCUCAAACGAUCAAUUGUAAAUUGCCUUAAGCUGGUAUGAAGAGUUUCAAUGAUCUCUGAAUCAAAAGUAAUUCUUUUUGCCACUUAAGGGAAUAUUUCUGCGAGUCACUUUCCUUAAGAUGUCUCGUUAUGGUAUCAUGGCAAUUUCCCUCGCUACUUUGAAACCCUCGUCAAAUUGUUUCUUCUAUCGCUCUUGAUGCAAGUUUUGCCUCUCAGCUCCAGAGAUGUUCCUAUGUCUCACUCCAUGAGUUGAUCCUGAGUUGUUCGAUCUUCGAGAAGAUCGAUCCUUCUAGAGUUUUCCCUUCCCUCUCGUUGUCAUGUUGGUUGGAGUUCUCAGAGCAAGACAUCGAGACAAUGAUGGUGAUCGAAUCAACAACCUUAUGAGAUGCAACCUGGAUCAUCAAGAUUAUGUUAGCUUGUGUUUCCCCUUCAUCUUACCUCACGUCUUGAAUCUCGGGCCGAGCUUCUUGUUUAGAGGGGGUGAGUUGUCACAUCCCUAGUUCUAUUAAUGCCUAGUGCUAGCAUCUGGUGUUGCAUCAUGUUUAAAUUUCAGUUAAACCUGAAAUGGGGAUUGCCUAAACCCUAGCACCAAAUGAAUUCAACUAGGUUCAAUAAAAAAAUAUUUUCAAUGAUCCCAAUUGCCCUUUAGAAAAGUUCAUGAUUUUUGUUAAAGGUGAAAACCUCUGCCAAAAGUCAUGCACAUAUUUCUAGGCCAUUCUGGAUUUUUGAACUAAAUCAUAUAGUAUUUGAAUUUGGGCAUUCAAAUACUAUAAAAUAAUUAAAAUGUUCAAAUAAUCCUAAACUGAAAUGUUCCAUGUUGGAUAUAUUCCAAACAGUGGCCAUGAGCAGUUUGGAGAUUUUUGAGUGUGCCUAAGUAUUUUUAAUAAAGCCCAGAACAAAAUAACAAAAUAGAAAAUAGAAAUAAAAUAGAAAUGGAGAGAGAGAACCUCACCUGGCCUCACUGUGCAGCCCACCUAGUCGGCCCAGCUGGCGGCCCAGCCAGCUGGCCAGCCCACCGAGGACAGGGGCGUCUUCUUCCUCCUGCCAGAAGGAAGAGGAGAAGACAGCCACGGCGCCGCGGCGUGCCACGCCGGCAGCUGCCUGCCUGGCUGCCCCCUCGUCGCCCUGGACUCCCUCUGCGACGCCACGCUACCCCCUGGACCCCCUUGACGCUCUCGCUCUCUCCCUCGCUCUCUGCUCCCUCUCCCAAGCACACCCGAGCGGAGCUCGUCAUUGCUGACGCAAUUUGCCGCGACCACCGCCGUCCCAAUGAUGCCCCGAGCUGUUCCCGAGCUCCUGCACCUCGUCGCCAACCUCCUCACCGACUCAUGCCACCAGGAGAGCCCCGAAGCGACGGCCUCAACGUCAUCUCCAACCACGGCUGACCGAGAUCGCCGCCGUCAAUUCGCCGUCGCAGAAGCUUCCCCGAGCCCGCUGAGUUUCUCUCCCGACCCCUUGUGAGCUCCUGCACCUUCCCUAUGCUCGCCCCCUCUCUGUUUCCCUCUGCUAGCUCGAUUCCGCUGGAGCCGAGAGCUCAUCGCCACCGUCCAUGGUGCCGCCAUCGUUUUAGCCACCAUAGCUCGUGCCUGAUCGCGUCAACGCGUUCGGUGCCUUCCCAGGAGCACGCAGCUCCCACCAGCUCCUCCUCCCGAGCACCCUAACGCCGAGCCCGCACCAACCCCGAACUCCGGCCGCCACCUUUGAGCUCGUGGCCGCCGACUCCGGCCACCCCAGGGCCGGCUACUGCCACCAGGCGACGCGCUGCAACGCCAGCUACCCGUAGAGCCCAACCGCGGCUCAAACCGCGGCCUGUACACGAAACCCGAGCAACUCCGGCGAGUUGCCGCCACGGUUUUGGUCGCCGGCAACUUAACUCCGGCCGUGCCGACGUGGCACCAUCAUUAGUGGCUAAUGACGCCACUAAACUAACCCCUAGCUCACUGACGAAUGGACCCCACACCUAAUUAACCCCGGGUUUAGUUUCUUGUUUAGAUUAGUGCUAACCCUAUGGACCCCACGUGUCAGCUUUGACUUUGGUCAAGUCAACGUUGGCCGGUCCCACUUGUCAUCCACCCAAACCAGCCUGAGACACUCACGUGUGGGUCCCAAUCAUCAGGUUUAACCUGGGCUGACGCCUUUGACCUGCUGAUGUCACGGUGACGUAAUGUUGACGCAAUAAUUCAUUUUCUGGAAUUAGUUAAUUCUAAAUAAUUCAGAAAAUUCCAAAAAAUUGCCUAAACUUCUAAAAAUCAUAGAAAUUCAACCGUAACUCCAAAUAAAAUAAAUUAUAUAUGUAAAAUUAUCAGAAAAAUUCAAGGAAUCCAUCUGUACCCUUUUCAUGCAUGUUUGAACAAUAUUUGUCCUCUGUUUUGGACAAAACAAAUACAAGGCAUUUAAAUAAACAUAUAUGGAGUUGGAAUUUGAAUCUUGUAUUCAAACCAACUUCAUUUAAAUCAUAACUAGAUGCAUUAGCUCAAAUCACAGCAUAUUGCCAUGUCAUGAUCAUGCAUCAUAUUGUCGCAUAUGCAUUGAUUGUGUUCUUCUCCUUUGCCGGUGUUUGUCCCCCUUCAGUAGACGACGUUCCGACGAUGUGUUCGAUGACACCGAUGAAAAGCUAUUACUAUCUUCAGAAGUGCCAGGCAAGCACAACCCCCUUGUUCAUUCUGAUACAAGCCCACUCUCUCGCUCCUGCUCUCUUUUACUGCAUUAGGACAACAACGAUCAUCUGUUACUUGUUGCGGUAGUUGAACCCCUUAUCCUCUGCAUGACCUGUCAUUGCCACAGUAAAUAGAUGAAACCCACUAGCAUGAGUAGGAGUUGUUUGACCCCUGAUGUGCCUACUCAUUCAUGCUUGUUUGUCAUGCCUGCUACUGCUUAGAGUUGGGUCAGGUCUGAUUCAUCAGGGAUGAAUCGGAGGUGUGUAAACAUGUCCUACUGUGUGUGAGCUAAGUGUGUGAACACGUUUUGGUAAAGGUAGCGGUGAGAGGCCAUGUAGGAGUACAUGGUGGGUUGUCUCAUUGAAACCAUUCUCAGGAACUGAGUUCUGUGUCUGUGAUCCAUGAACAGCUACUACCACUCAUUGGGAUCCUUGAUCGACCCUCUCGGCUUCUUAAUCACCCUAGUACUCUGUCCAGGAGUUGCAACUAGUUUUUGGUGUUUGUAGGUUAUGUGUUGGCGGCCGUGCAUAGCGCUGACCCUAGGGGUGGGCUAUGAUGUGGUAGAUACAUCGUGGCCGGGCAUGCCGGGCGCCCGUUUGGUGUCUCGGAACCCUGUACACAUCGUUCGGGGCCGUAUGUGGAAACCUCGGCCGGACUCCCUGCGGAUGGAACCUGGAUAGGCGAUAAACCUGGACUAGAGACUUGAGUGUUUAGGUAGGCCGUGGCCGACACCCUCGUUGGGCUUCCGCUUGAAGGUUGCCGAGUACAUGUCGUGUAAACGGCGGUAAGUGGUGAGAGCGUGUGUGAAGAAGUACACCCCUGCAGGGUUAACAUCAUCUAUUCGAAUAGCUGUGUCCGCGGUAAUGGACUUCUGGGUUGCCUAUAACAGUUCAUAGACAAGUGAAAAUGGAACUCUAAAACUCGCAAGAUAAGUGUGAGUGCUAUGGAUGGCCUUCUCGUAGGGAGACGGGAGCGGAUCCAUAGUGGUGUAUUGAAUGGUGAAUAUGUGGACUCGUGUGCGCCACCUCAAAAGAGUUGCUUGCAGUCGUAGUUCAGGUUAGCCACUGAGUCAAAGCUGGCUUGCUGUAGUUAAACUCCACCACCCCCCUUUAUUGAUACCGAUGCAUAUGUAGAUAGUUCUGAUGUAAGUCUUGCUGGGUACAUUUGUACUCACGUUUGCCUAUUUUAUGUUUUGCAGAGAGACGUCAGUCUCGCUAGUAGUUCCGUGUGGACUUCGACGUUAGCUUGAUACCUCAGCUACGAUCUUGUGCCCUCGGCAGGAUCUGGUAGAUAGUCAGGCUUCUCAGCCUUUUUCAUUUGUAGAUGUCUGUACUCAGACAUGUUAAGCUUCCGCUUGUGUUUUGACUUGUAUGCUCUGGAUGUUGGGCCAUGAGACCCAUGUUUGUAAUAUCUCGCUCCUCGGAGCCUGAUGAGUAAAUACUUGAGUCGUAGAGUCUUGUUGUGAUGCCAUGUUGUAUUUACACAUAUCGAGCAUAUUGUGUGUAUGAUUGAAAUGCUUGGUAUGUGUGGGAUCCGACAAUCUAGUUGUUUAUCCUUGGCAGCCUCUCUUAUGGGGAAAUGUAGUCUAGUGCUUCCAUGAGCCAUAGUAGUCCGCUACAGCCCAGUUCACCGGAGUCCUUCUAGCCCAGCACUACUGCUCAGGACACUUGACUAGCCGGCAUGUGUUUCACUUCGUUCCUGUGUCUGUCCCUUUGGGGAAAUGUCACGCGGUGACAUCCGGAGUCCUGCCUAGCCUGCUACAGCCCGGGUUACCGGAGUCCUGUUAGCCUAGUGCUACAGCUCGGAUUCACACGCUGCUGACCGACAUGCUCGAUGUGAUUCAUGUAUGUCUGUUCCCAUAGGUUGGUGCCGCUUUGGGUUCACGACUAGCCAUGUCGGCCCGGGUUCCCUGUCAUAUGGAUGCUAGUGACACUAUCAUAUACGUGAGCCAAAAGGCGUAAACGGUCCCGGCCAUGGUAAGGCGACACCCGUGGGAAUACCGUGCGUGAGGCCGCAAAGUGAUAUGAGGUGUUACCGGCUAGAUCAAUGUGACUUGGAAUCGGGGUCCUGACACCCCAGGUGGGCUGGUGCGCCCCGCCCCCCCCCCCACACACACACACAAGGGCCCAAGGCGCCUCCAAGAGGGAAAGGGGGCAAACCCUAGGGCAGAUGGGCCCUAAGGCCCACCCCAGGUGCGCCUCCCCCUCUCCCCCUUGUGGCCGCCACCCAGAUGGGAUCUGGGGGCUGCCGCCACCCCUAGGGAGGGAACCCUAGGUGGGGGCGCAGCCCCUCCCCUUCCCCUAUAUAUACUUGAGGUUUGGGCUGCCCAACACACAUGAGUUUCUGACCUCUCCCUGGCGCAGCCCUACCUCUCUUUCUCAUCAUAUCUCGCGGUGCUUGGCGAAGCCCUGCUGGAGUACCACGCUCCUCCACCACCACCACGCCGUUGUGCUGCUGCUGGAUGGAGCCUUCCUCAACCUCUCCCUCUCUCCUUGCUGGAUCAAGGCAUGGGAGACGUCAUCGGGCUGUACGUGUGUUGAACGCGGAGGUGCCAUCCGUUUGGCACUAGGAUCUCCGGUGAUUUGGAUCACGACGAGUAUGACUCCAUCAACCCCGUUCUCUUGAACGCUUCCGCUUAGCGAUCUACAAGGGUAUGUAGAUGCACUCUCCUUCCCCUCGUUGCUGGUUUCUCCAUAGAUAGAUCUUGGUGACACGUAGGAAAAUUUUGAAUUUCUGCUACGUUCCCCAACAGUUUGGGGGUUAAAGACUUACACAGACAAAACAUCAGUCUCCUCACCAAAUGGUGGUGGAAGCUGGAAACCCAACAAGGCCUUUGGCAGGAGAUUAUUCGUGCUAAAUACUUCAGAAAUGACAUGGUUCCCUCGGUGAAGAGUAAAUUUGGGGAUUCCCCCGUUUGGAAAGCUAUUAUGAAAGUAAAGGAAAUUUAUUUGGCAGGUAGAGAGGUGAUUUUAAACUCUGGGAAUAUAGCCAGAGUCUGGAAUGACCCCAUUAGGGGUGCUGCUCCCUUGCGUGUUAAAUUUCCGAUCUUGUUCAGUAUCUAUAAUUAUCAGGAGAUUACUGUUGCUGAAUUUAAAAAGUUUGAGGGGGGUGAUCUUUUUAGAAGGAACCUGCAUCCACCUCUUGUGGAUCAGUGGAAUGAUCUAGUUAAGGUGGUGAACUCUUGGCAAUUGUCCGAUGAGACGGACUAUAUUAGCUGGAGAUUGGGAAAAAAGAAAGGUAAAUUCUCGACCAAAUCGGUCUAUACCUAUUUGGAAAGAACCCUGGCGGGGUGUGAUUUCAUAUGGAUAUGGAAAGCAAAAAUCCCUCUUAAGAUUCAAAUCUUUCUCUGGCAAUUGUUCCAAGAUGCGGUUUUGACUCGAGAAGUCAUGAAAAAGAGAAAAUGGACAAGAAAUCCCAAAUGCUCUUUCUGCAAUGAGGUGGAAACCUCACAGCAUCUUUUAUUUACUCCACCAAGGCAAAAAAGCUUCGAGAAUGUGUUUACCUCCAUCGACGACGAACUGAUUCUACUCCACCAAGGCAAAAAAGCUUCGAGACUGUGUUUACCCGUUUGGUGGAUCGCACUCCUGCGCGAGUGUCUUUUGCUCUCCUGUGUUUUGCCUACGAGCAGGGCGUUGUAGUACUGUUAUGAUUCCUGUUGGAGUUUUCCUUGAUCUGGUUAGGUCUUGUGGUUUGCGUGAUGCUAGGUGUCACUGGGUUUUCGCCCCGCGAUGGGCUGCUCGAUGAGGAGUGCUCAUAGUGGGUUUCCGAGUGAUGCUUUGAUCUCGCCUUACCCCUUUCUUGCUUCCUUAUGCUGUAGUCGUUUAUGCUGGGUCUGUGUUCGUUGAACUUUAAACUUUGUAUUUCCGUUAUGCAAUUAAUGGAAAGGGGUUAUGGCCCGGGUCAAAAAAAAAUACAAGCGUCCUUGAGACUGCCCAACAUCACAGAUUCGUCCUUGAGAGUGCCCAACAUCACAGGUGUUUGGCAUUUGAAUCUCCCUCCAAACUUUCCCCUCCAUGUCGACUGUGGCUAUUCUCUUAUCAAGGGUAGGCAAAUGGAUAGUGCCAUUCAGGAAGACCUGGGUGUAUAUACCAUGAUUCACGAGAGGAUCUUUUGUCCACUUACUUUGCACAUGAGUCCACCCUCCAGUUUCUGUCGAGUAGAUUGACACUUUUCCGGAAUCGUUCAUACCAACCAUCUGGCUCUCGGGGGCAAACACCACAAAGCGGGAUGGAAUAGCAUGGUCGAAACCUAGGAAAGGGAUGGGAUCGGGACCUGGAAAUCCGACAGGAGGCAGCACAGUCCACUCUUGGGUAGCAGGAUUGCAGACAACAUAAUAGGAUUCAUCUCGCAGAUUAUCCGAGCAGCUGCACAGGAGAAGGCCGCCGCAGACGUGUUGGACAGAAAUGUGGCGGUACCUUUGGCGCAAGAAAGGGAGAGAGGGGUCGACAAGUGGCGGACAUCUUCCAUUCAAAUUGCGGAAAUUGAGGACACGGGCGUUCUUGUAGAAGAAGCCGGAGAGGGUCUGUUGCGACCUCUUGCGGAUGUCCGGGGCAGAGCAGAGGGCGAGCCACAGCUUGGACACGCACUUGAAGCGGCAGAGCGACCUGUAGGGCACACGCAAAAGGAUCUCGACGAGGGCGCCCUCGGGGAGGCUCGGCAUGAUCUGCUGCUCUUGCUCCAGCUUCUGCACCUGCUUCUUCUUCACAUCCUGUAAAUGAUGGAGAUGAUGACUCGUUUAGGCUCCCGAUCCCCUUUCUUGGAUCGACGACAAUUGACGGGGCCAGUCGAGGAUCUUGUUCUAAAAGAGAAAGAACAUUGCAGAAGCAUGGAGCAAACCUCGGAAGCCACCGGGACAAUGGCGAGGAGCGGCGGCGUAGAAUGGGGCAGAGCGUCUUCGUCGCGACGGACGAUGGCCGGCGGGUGGCUCUGCACCGUGCAGCCAUGCUCGCCCCCUCCUUCUCCUCCUAGCGGCAUGACCUCCUCUCCGGCUGGCGCUAGGGUUCGUGAAAUCGUGAUGGGGCGUGACUGCGAGUGGAGUGGAGUGGCCCCGCUGAUAAUGGGCUCUCCGAUUUUUUUCUUUAUUAGCUGUGGUUCUAAAGGCGGCCCAAUUGAUUCUGAUGAUUUGUUGGCCCUCUCCACUGAAUAGUCGAACAAUUUUCUUGGUUGGUUUGUUAAUCUACGAGCCGAUGAUAAAAAAAAAAUUGCAUCAGCAGAAUGUGCAUGUACUAGAUAUGUUUUGAAUUACAACUUGUUGGCACCUGUUAGUCUUGCCUAGCUUUGUAGAAGAAGAUAUCAAUAUUCAUACUAUGAAAUCAAUAUUAUUAGAUGCAUGAUGAAAUUAAUUUUCACAAUAUAUAACUUUAGUAUUGUGAUGUCGAUAUUUUUUUACUAAAAAGUUGGUCAAACUUUACAAUGCUUGACUUUGACCAAAUCUUAUAUGCAGACUAAAAAGAAACGGAGAGAGUAAUUAAACUCAUUAAGCUACGCGUGAAGGGCGACCAACCAGCUAUGCCACAUGGCGCAAACUGGUUGGGCACGGUGAGAAAUCUUUUGAAUUUUUUUAGAUGAAGAUGUGGAUUAUUUUUUAAAAUGUAUUUUUUCUUUUUAGAUGGAGGUGAGGAGCUCUGGUAUUUUUUAAAUGGAGGGUUGUGCAAAGUGGCACUCGCUGGUUGGCUGCGGUGAUAUUUUUUCCGUUUUACUUUUUUUAGAUGAAGGUGAAGAUUUUCUUUUGAGAUGUUUUUUUAGACGGAGGCGAUGACUCUAUGUAUAUUUUGUUAAAUGGAGACAUGCGCAUAGCUUUCUCUCAAGCGGCGUCACACCCCAACCACUAGUUUUACAAUAUAGUGCAACUACCUUCCGAGGGCGCACAAGGCAAAGACGCUUCUCUUGCCAUUCGGCCCGCCUCCAGGCCCUCUCUCGCACUCAGUAGGGUGCUCUCCGGCUGGUAGCCACUGUUGACUGCUGGCCAAAGAGGACUUCGACGAGUCAAAGAGGGAUGACUCAUCGGCUAACUCAGGUACAAACCCGAUGCCUUACUAAUACUUAAGUGAUUCGGUGCUAUCUGAUUAUAGUAAGAGAGAUUCUACUAUUAAGGGGAAAUUAAGAGAAAAAUGAAGAGAUGUAGACAAAUUAACACAUGGUCUCAUGAUUUUGAGGCUAGAUGUGACGGGGAAAUCCAAACUUCUUGAGUUAUCUGAUUAAUAAACAGAAGCAGAGAUUGUUGAUUGGCCAGGAGGAUAUCAAAAGGAAUGGGUACUACCCCCCCCCCCCAUUUUGAACUAUUUUGAUGAUAAUUAUGCUGAUUUUGGGAAAAUUACAUUAAUCUCCACCAGUGUUGUUGCCCUGAACAAAGGUGGAGGGGAAUUGGAGAAAUUGGGGGGGGGGCAUUAAAGAGGCUGACGAAAAUGGGUUUUGGGGGAUCAGUAGGUAGGUUUUUAGAUCAUAUUGAGGAGGAAGUGGAACUGGGAUUUAGAUGCUAUGGGCCUCCAACUUUGGAAGCUGGCCUAGUAGUGGCCCAGAAUUUAUCCACUCCUGCUAUAUAUAUGCUGGAGAGGGCGAGCUUUUAGAAACAUACAACUUCUCUAGGGUUACCCUGACAACCGCCGCCUGACUCUGCCAUGUCAGUGAACUAUGGCAACUUUCGAGGUGGAUGGAGAUUCGGUAGGGGUGGUGGAAGAGGAAAUUUCCAGUACCAACCGAAGGAUUUUGUUAACAAAGAUGAUGUGAGUUUCGUAAGAGAUCCAAUCCCCCACCCACAAAAUAAUAAUUCGGGUAGGGGUAGAGGACAGAUCGACGCAACUGUGGGUGGUGAUGGAAAUCUGAUGCCAAGAAGGUCUCAGGCAUUAGGUGGAAAUCAGUCCUGGAGAGGUAUGGUGGGUGAAAUUGAGAUAGUUGGUUCUUCUGGUGAUAAUAACAAGUAAGAACCUGAGAAGAAGAGGGAUUAGAUCUGGAUCCAGUAGUAGCAUGGUUCUUAAUUUGGCCGCAUCCCAACAACAGUAGCCCUUGGGCGCGCUGCUUUCACAAAUACCCAAGACCAUGGCUAUUAGAGAACUGGAUAUAAGUGACAGAAAUGGUGUAGGCAACAAGGGGAAGGAUCAUGUAGGUGUUGGAAAUGGUGGUGGGGAAAAUCAAAGCAACAAAGGAUCAUCACCUGGCAGUGGAAACGUGGGAGAAUCUGGAGACUUCAAACAUGAUCACGGGCUUGGUAACUCUCUGUAAGGGAAUGAGAUGAAUAAGAAGCAAGGGGGCAGAUUUUGAAAGCAAGUUUAUGGGAAAUGUAAAGAUCCCAGGCACUCUACCAGGGAAUGCAAAGUGGGGCAUUGUUUGAUUUGUGGCAAGGAUAAUCACAUCACAGAGGAGUGUAACUAGUUGUGACAGAUGAAGCCCUUGCCAAAAUACAUUGGAUAUGCCGCCAAGGGUUUACGAGUGUUCUUGGUCCAAAGUGCUAAAGAUAUUUUGUUUGCUGAUCAUAUUCAUCCACUGGCCAUUGUAUCUUUGGAAUCGAUGUACUUGAAUGAGACUGAUUUUGUACAAGAAUUUGGGGAGAUGUUUAACUGGAGAUGGAAAUGGAGAGCUAAAAGCUAUGGCCAAAUCUAUUAUCUAAUGAGGUUUCCAAACAAAGCAAGGCUGGUGGAGUUGGCUAAAUUCAAAACUUUUAACCUGUUAGGAACUGGGGUAAUGAUCAAAGUUCAAGGGUGGACACUGGAUCAUUAGGCCAUUGGCAAAUUACACACUGCUUGGGUAAAAUUUGGUAGUGUGGCUGGUUGUUUUAGGCACUUUUUUGGGAUGUGUGAAGUAGCAGGGGCUAUUGGGCCAGUGAUGGAAAUUGAAAAGGAUACCAACACACAGGAAAAAAUUAAAGCAAAAAAUUGGAGCAAGAGAUGUGGAGAAAAUCUCACCUUCCUUUGAAAUCACUUCAAAUGACGUGCUAAUUUUUAGAGUGACUUCUGAAUUGGACAAUGUGGUGGAAAUGGGUUUGUAUAAAGAGUUUAAAAGAAGUGAAUCUCCUGAAGAUGAUUUGAUGGACAUGUAUGAAAAAGAAGAUACUAGGAAAAAAGCAAGGUAGGGGAAAACACCAGAGUGCAUUUGACAUUGGGGAGCUUGUCUUUGGCCCAGCUUGAAGAGGUUAAUAAGAAAAUAAUGCAAUGAAAACCUCCAUUGAAAAUUAUUUUGGCCCCAUUCUUCAUAACCUAGCAAAAGAAUACAAACCGGCUUGAAAAGGAUAUAGAUGUAGUACUGAGAAGAGUUCAAUCUUUGGAAGAGGAAAAGACAAGGCAAGCUGCUUUGUGGGCAAUUGAGGGGAAGAAAAUGAUUUAUUUAGAAAAAUAUAAGAAGAUGCUGGAAGCUGACUUUGCUCAACAGCAAUAAAUGACACAACAGCUGAUACGAGAGGAUGAGAAAAGAGAUCAAAUGGAAUUGGAGCAUGCUAAUAUGGAUGAUGAGGAAAUUGAGGGGUAUGUGCAAGAUAAGAAAAAAGCAACUGAAUUUGAUAAAUAUGGGGAGAACAGUGAUUAUAAUGCUUGCCAAGAAUCUGCGGAAAACUUUGGACAGAAGAUGGCCGACAAACAUGGACCUGAAACUAGAGAUUUGGAGAUUGGCAAAGAAGAGGAAUUGAGAACAAGCUUCAGUAUGAAGGUGGAGGACUUGGCCAAGAACAGAGCUGAAGCAAGGGAUAAUUAUGGUAAUGAACCUAACUCCCCUCCUUCUAUAUCUCCUUUAAUGCAUAUGACAUCUUUCAUAGGAAAUGGUUUAGGAUGCACUAUUGAUAUGGUAGAGAAAAACAUUGGGAUUAUCCAAAAAUGCAGGCUGCUAGAAAAGAGUUUUAUUGGCAAAAUAUACUAACCAGAGAGAAAAAGGAAAAGGUGAGGCCAGCACUCCAAUUCAGAUUGAUAUUGGAGAUGCUAAUAUGGCUGAACUCUGUUUUGAUAAAGAACAUUCAGACGCCAAGGUAGAAGAGAAUUAUCAUGAUCAAUUGAAAAAAAUAUUUGUUGGGGAAUUUUUUUCAAGAGGGAUCACCAGCAAUUAGCUAUGUGAAACACUCAGUUGCUAUCAACUUCCUUGAAAAAUGGAGGAAGAAGACAUAAAAUUAGAGAGGCUAAAUAUUUGCCUCUUGUUUUUUGUGAAACUGUGUGUCUGUGGAUAUAUAGAUUUGGAUAAUAAUAAACCAUUUAUAUUGGAAAAAUGAAAGGUUUUUUUGGAAUGUUAGAGGAUUGGGGCAUGAUCAUAAAAAUAGAUAUGUUAAGGAUAUGAUUGUAGAACAUAAACUUGACUUUGUGGGGCUGAUGGAAACUAUAAAAACUAGGUAUUCCAAAACUGAACUCACUUUGUGUGUGGGGGGGUGGGGAGAAAUUUUGAAUGCACUUGAAAUCCACCUAGUGGGAAAUGUGGAGGUAUUCUGGUGGGUUGGAAUAAAGAUAUUUUUGACACUAUUCGUCUUGAACAUGGUGAAUAUUUUGUCAGGGUACAUGUUUUUGAUAGACAUGCAAGUUUGAAUGGAAUUUAAUCACUAUCAAUGGUGAUGCUCAAAUUGAAAGAAAAGCUAGUUUUUUAGCUGAGCUGGCUAGAGUCUAUCAUGAUAUUGCCUUGUUUGGUGGGGGGGGGGGGUUAAUAUCAUUAGAAAGAGUGAUGAGAAAAACAAACCUAACAAUCCAGAUCAUUGGAGUUUUGUGUUUAAUGUUAUUAUAGAACAUGUUGGGCUUAGGGAGAUGUCUCUAAAUGGCAUACAAUACACUUGGGCUAAUAAUCUUCCUCAUCCAACUUAUGAGAAAUUGGAUAGGGUUCUAUGUUGUCCAGAUUAGGAGGAAAAAUAACCCUUAUCCAUACUCCAGGCAUUUGCUAGGGAGGCCUUUGAUCAUACUCCACUUUAUAUUUUGACACAAGAGCCCACACAAAUACUGAACCAAUUUUCAUAUCUAAAAAUUCUUGAGUGCUUAGAGAGGGAUUUAAGGAUUUUGUGGUUAAAGUAUGGAAUGGGGAGUAUAAAGUAGAUAAUUUGGAUAGAUGGUAAGAAAGAUUCAGAAACUUGAGGAAAAAAACUAAAGGUUGGAAUGAAAAUGUGGAUGCUUGGUAUAGGAAGAUGAAGAAAGAAAUUAUUGAUAGACUUGAUGAUUUGGAAUAAAAUGCUGAAAAUAUGGGAUUAACAGCUGCAAAUAGAGAUGAACAAAAAGAGCUAAGUGCUCAAGUAUCUAGGCUUAUGUAGUAAGAAGAACUUAAAUGGCUUCGAAGAUAUAAAGAUAAAGAGAUUAAAGAUGGAUAUGGGAACACUAGAUACUACAAUGCCAAAGUGAAUGGAGAAGACGCAUAAAAUAAAAUAAUAUCUUUAGAACAAGUAGAGGGGGUGAUUGAGGGAGAGAUUGAAUUAAUGGAGUAUAUUACUAACUUCUAUAAGAGACUAUUUGGACAGCCAGACGAGUGGAACAUUAUGCUGGGAGACCUAGAUAUGCCAAAAAAUUCUGCUAUAGAAGCUGUGGAGUUGACUGCACCUUUCUCUAUGAAAGAAAUUCAUGAGGUGAUUUUUGGUAUGGAAAAAAACAAGAGCCUUGGUCCGGAUGGAUUUCCUGCUGAUUUCUAUCUAGAAUUUUGGGAUUUGAUAAAAUGGGAUCUCAAGGACAUGGUUGACGAUUUCACUUCUGGCAAAUUUGACAUCACUAGGCUUAAUUAUGAUACCCUAAUCCCAAAAACCUCAUAUGCUAAACAAAUUUAGAAAUUUAGACCAUAUGCCUCUUGAAUGUCAGUUUUAAGAUUAUUACUAAGGUUUUUCAUGAAUAGAUUGAGUAAAGUGGUCUCUCAUGUUAUUUCUCCUACUCAAACUACUUUUGUUAAAGGGAGAUUCAUUAUGGAAGGGGUUGUGGUACUUCAUGGAGCUUUAAAUAUAGUACAUUACAAAAAACAAAAUGCUCUGAUCAUCAAAGUGGACUUUUGUUAUCAAAAUGUUGAAAAUGAAAGGAUUUUUCUGAUAAAGGUGUGACUGGAUUAUGCUAACUAUGAGAAGGGGACAUGUAGGAGUUAGGGUUGAUGAUCAAAUUGGGCCUUAUUUCAAAACCUUUAAAGGCCUUAGACAAGGGGACUCUAUGUCCCCCUUGUUGUUUGACCUUGCUGAUUAUGCUUUAGCUCUGAUCGUGGAUAAAGCAAAGAAUGAGGGGGGUUGUUAAGGGGGUGCUUGGUACUCAGUGUAACAUGGGGAUAAACAUGCUACAAUAUGAUGAUGACACUAUUUUCUUACUUCAGGAUGAUCUUGAUGAUGCAAAAAAAAUUGGAGUUCAUUAUUUGUGCUUUUGAGCAAAUGUCUGGGCUUACUAUUAAUUUUCAUAAAAGUGAACGGUUCCUUUUUGGAGAGGAAAAUAAUAAAAGACAGACAUAUCAGGAAUUUUUCACUUGUGGCAUGGGAUCUCUCCCUAUGAAGUAUCUAGGGAUGCCAGUGUCACACACUAGAAUUAGAAAAAGACACUGGUCUGGGUAGUUGAAAAAAAUGAGAAAAGAUGUGAGUGAUGGCAAGGUAGACUCCUAGGAUCUAUUGCUGGGAGAAUAACCUUGGUGCAGGCCUGCUUGUCCAAUAUACCUCUUUUUUAUGAUGUCGUUUUACCCCAUUCCUGCUGGGGUACUUAAGAAAGUAGACUCUUAUAGAGCUAGAUUGGUUUGGCAAGAAGACGAAGAUAAGAAGAAAUAUCAUUUGGUAAACUGGAAGACCUGUUGCAAACCCAAAGACUUGGGAGGUUUGGGUAUUUUAAAUUUAAACAUUAUGAAUAAAGAUUUACUUGUGAAAUGGUUUCGGAAUUUGGAAAUGGAGGAAGGACUUUGGCAGCCAGUCCUCUAGGACAAAUAUGUAACUGAUGGAUGCUUAUCCAGGACACAACAUAAAAAUGGAGAUUCACAAUUUUGGACUAAUACUAUUAAGGUCAAAGAGAUAUUUGACAGAUUUUGUAGGAAAAUUUUGGGGGAUGGCAAAAACACAAGGUUCUGGGAAAGACAUAUGGGUAGAUGAUAAACCUCUGAAAGAGGCAUAUCCAAGGCUAUAUAUGCUUAGUUUUGAACACAAUAUCAAUGUGUCUGAAGCCUUGGAGAACGAGUGGAGAUGAUUUAAAUUUAGAAGAACACUAUAUGAGGAAACCAUGGAAUUGUGGAAAAGCCUAGGAAGAAGAUGUGAGGAGGUUAAUAUGGGAAGAGGUAGAGAUCAGGUGGAGUGCAUGCUAACUCCGGAUAAACAAUUUAUUCUCAAGUCCUUAUAUAGACUAGAGAUAUUUUUAGAAGACCUUUUUAUGCUAAAAAAACAGAUGAUCCACACAUAAUCAUAUCAAAUCUUCAAAAUGCAUUAAAACGGAGCAUCGAUGGAUAACAAACUAUAGACUGGAGAUAUUUACUUGCAUAAAACAAAUGGAAAUGAAGAGGUGAAAAUAACGCAGAUAAUGUACUCUCAGUGACUUAUAUUAGCCACAUCAGGCCCAAACGACUGGCCACAAUAACUAGUGCUACAUGACAGCAAACAGAUGAAAUGGCUAGGUGGAUUCUUACAACUAACUAGUACACUCACCCUUACAAAGUUUGGCUAACAACAUUGUUCAAAGCAACAAAGGCAUAUGCACCGAACUCAAGACUGUAGACAUAGGAGUUGGGACUUCUCCACGC
This 25470-nucleotide long non-coding RNA is filed under the name Triticum aestivum (bread wheat). RNAcentral's name for it is "long non-coding RNA (TAES_LNC027126)". The record is from RNAcentral. Lineage: Eukaryota; Viridiplantae; Streptophyta; Magnoliopsida; Poales; Poaceae.